AUACGGAGGAUCCGAGCGUUAUCCGGAUUGAUUGGGUUUAAAGGGUGCGCAGCCGGCCAUUUAAGGCAGCGGUUAAAUCGUGGGGCUCAACCCCAUCCUGCCGUUGAUACUGGGUGGCUUGUUCGCGGUCGAGGUUGGCGGAAUUCGUUUGGUAGCGGGGGAAUGCAUAGAUAUGACGAAGAACAUCGAUUGCGUAGGCAGCUGACCAGACCGCAAAUGACGCUCAUGCACGAAAGUGCGGGGAUCGAACAGGAUUAGAUACCCUGGUAGUCCGCACAGUAAACGAUGAAUACUUGUUUUCGGCGAUAUAAUGUCGGAGGCAAAGCGAAAGCGAUAAGUAUUCCACCUGGGGAGUACGCCGGCAACGGUGACACUCAAAUGAAUUGACGGGG
This 392-nucleotide ribosomal RNA is filed under the name uncultured bacterium. Its description in RNAcentral is "partial 16S ribosomal RNA". It matches the Rfam family "Bacterial small subunit ribosomal RNA", at positions 523 to 918 of the family's 1533-position model. The record is from RNAcentral.